CAGUCGCCACGGUAAUACGUAGGGUGCAAGCGUUAAUCGGAAUUACUGGGCAUAAAGCGUGCGCAGGCGGUUUUGUAAGUCUGACGUGAAAGCCCCGGGCUCAACCUGGGAAUUGCGAUGAAGACUGCAAGGCUUGAAUCUGGCAGAGGGGGGUAGAAUUCCACGUGUAGCAGUGAAAUGCGUAGAGAUGUGGAGGAACACCGAUGGCGAAGGCAGCCCCCUGGGUCAAGAUUGACGCUCAUGCACGAAAGCGUGGGGAGCAAACAGGAUUAGAGACCCGCGUAGUCCCUGUCUCUUAUAC
This 301-nucleotide ribosomal RNA is filed under the name uncultured bacterium. Its description in RNAcentral is "partial 16S ribosomal RNA". It matches the Rfam family "Bacterial small subunit ribosomal RNA", at positions 509 to 807 of the family's 1533-position model. The record is from RNAcentral.